Molecule: long non-coding RNA, 281 nt
Filed under: Mytilus galloprovincialis (Mediterranean mussel)
Lineage: Eukaryota; Metazoa; Mollusca; Bivalvia; Mytilida; Mytilidae
Source: RNAcentral
UACCUUACAGCUAGCUUGAAUCGAAACUGAAGAAACAUUGGAAGAAUAAAAAUCAUAACAUGUAUGGAUUAUGGAAAGUGCACUUCUGGGAAAAGUACUGAGUCAUAGGGUUUCCUUACAGUGGGAGGCGCAGAUACUCACCAUUUGCAUACCAAACUUCAAACGGGGAUAAAGUCAUCAGUAAUAGUGGUUUUGGGCAGGCAGUCAGACAGUUUGAACGAAUCUAUAAAGCUUGUUUAAACAGAAGGAAAACACAUGAACAUACUAAAUAUAAGAUAUCC